This 99-nucleotide ribosomal RNA is filed under the name uncultured bacterium. Its description in RNAcentral is "partial 16S ribosomal RNA". It matches the Rfam family "Bacterial small subunit ribosomal RNA", at positions 1384 to 1482 of the family's 1533-position model. The record is from RNAcentral.
UACACACCGCCCGUCACACCAUGGAAGUCUGUUGCACCAGAAGUCGGUAGUCUAACCGCAAGGGGGGCGCCGACCACGGCGUGGCCGAUGACUGGGGUG